This 586-nucleotide long non-coding RNA is filed under the name Helianthus annuus (common sunflower). Its description in RNAcentral is "hypothetical non coding rna". Lineage: Eukaryota; Viridiplantae; Streptophyta; Magnoliopsida; Asterales; Asteraceae. The record is from RNAcentral.
GAUUCCCUACGUCUUACGCGCCUUACAGGUGUCCUACUUCGGCUACGGCUACGACUACCACUCCGGCUCCAGCUGCGGCUGAAGCUUCGCCUCCGGCCAUACCUUUUUCCCCUGCUACGGUCACCAUCUCUUCUGCUAUCUAAUCUAGAUUCCCAGCGCCUAUCACACCUUACAGGUGUACGGCUUUGGCUCCGCCUGGAGCUAAGACUGCGUGACCAGCUACGGCUACGGCUACGGCUACGACUACCACUCCUGCUCCAGCUAUAGCUUCUUCCCCUGCUACGAUCACUGUUUCUUCUGUUAUCAAAUCUACAUUCCCAGCGUCUUCCACCCCUUACAGGUGUGCGGCUUCAGUUUCGGCUCCGCCUGGGGCUACGGCUGUGUGACCAGCUACGGCCACUGCUCCAGCUUCUACCCUGGCUAUAGCUUCUUCCUAGACUUCUUUCACGCCUUACAGGUGUGUGACUUCGACUCCGUGACCAGCUACGGCUACGACUACUGCUACGGCUGUACAUCCUACUCCAGCUUCUACUUCGGCUGCGGCUACGACUAUAGCUUCUUCCCCUGCUACGGUCACCAUCUCUAC